UCUUCGUGAUGAACAUCUUUUAUUCAGUUCUGCUACCGAGAAAGCAUGAGCGAUACACCUUAUACCAAAAACACAUUUCUGAUGU
Molecule: small nucleolar RNA, 85 nt
Filed under: Kockovaella imperatae
Lineage: Eukaryota; Fungi; Basidiomycota; Tremellomycetes; Tremellales; Cuniculitremaceae
Source: RNAcentral